Asparagus officinalis (garden asparagus) is the source of this 233-nucleotide long non-coding RNA. RefSeq lists it as uncharacterized. NCBI's taxonomy places the organism in Eukaryota, Viridiplantae, Streptophyta, Magnoliopsida, Asparagales, Asparagaceae. The record is from RefSeq and is a predicted model, not a curated record. The transcript has 3 exons.
CUGAAGCUGAAGAAGUUUCAUGGCCUCCAAGGGAUCCUGAAGCUCUCAUAUUGAUGGAAAAAUAAAUUGGAGAGGAAGCUCUCGGAGGCAGCAGGGAGAGAGGUGGUUCUUUGGUUCAUGGAAGAGAAGGCAGAUGACAUCACGAAGCAGAUAAAUACUUGCAAUGGUUUUUAUUGUGAUAGCUUCAAGCCAAACAAUGAAACGAGUCCUAAGAUGUGGACAGAAAAUUGGAC